This 164-nucleotide ribosomal RNA is filed under the name Isthmolongispora sp. Its description in RNAcentral is "partial large subunit ribosomal RNA". It matches the Rfam family "Eukaryotic large subunit ribosomal RNA", at positions 99 to 261 of the family's 3401-position model. Lineage: Eukaryota; Fungi; Ascomycota. The record is from RNAcentral.
CGGCAACAGCUCAAAUUUGAAAUCUGGCUCUUUUAGAGUCCGAGUUGUAAUUUGUAGAAGAUGCUUCGAGUGUGGUGCCGGUCUAAGUUCCUUGGAACAGGACGUCAUAGAGGGUGAGAAUCCCGUCUUGGACCGGCGUAGGGCCCGUGUAAAACUCCUUCGAC